GGGCUACAUUUUCUUGUAUUAUAAACAUGCAGGCCACUACGCAUGUAGUCAGCUACAAUUCCAUUCUUGAGAUGAAAUCUAAAGGGAUACAUUAACCCACGCUGCAAUCAUGGUGUUCACAACUAUGAUCCUUACUCAUCCAUUUUUGUCUUACAAACCACAUUGAAAUGCAGAUUACACAUACAUAAAACCAAUAUAUCAUUGUACAAAGUGAAGUUCACAUCAUACUAGUGCUUCAAGUGAAGACAUGACUCAAAUCACCCCUUUAAAUUGAGCUCUUUCCUUUCCCGUCACAUUUCUCAAUUCCUUUUCCCUUGCUAAAAGUCAUAUGCAAUAAAAUGUCGACGCCUUGUUUCUCGCUAAUUUUGGCUAGCCCAUUAAAUAAUCUUGGCAAGUUUUCGUCUUCCCUGUCGGGUGCCUCAUUGACAGCAUCAUUAAUGGAACUCGAUUCCCCGUCUAAAGCUUCAUCUUUCACCCAAUAGAAGUACCCACAUUCGUUACUACAGGUAAAGAACAAUCGACCGUUGUUUAGCAGUAUCCCAUUUGACCUGAAAACAUUUUCGAUAUCCAUGGUCACAACUAGGGCAUCGACGUAUUAAUUGGCAUUGUCCGACGUAGUGUGUGUUGCUUCUGCAACUGUGAUAGACUCCAAAAUUCCUUCAUCUCAUUAUAGUCGAUUGCUGCAAAUGAAACAAACUUGUUAAAAAGGUAGACUCGAAGAUGUAGUUACAUGAUUAAUUAUACAUACAUAAGAUUGAAAAUAUAAUAAACACAAACUCAUGGGUUCAAAUAUCUCGUAACAAUCACAUUUACCGCUGUAUAGAAGCUGAUAAAAGGAAUAGAACUAUACAUCAUUUGUAGGUCCAGAGUGUUAGAUGGUACAAAUGCAAUGGAUUUAAGCACAAGAGACUGGGGAAGUUCUACCUUUCACCAUCAUCCUCUAAUCUUAAUGAUCCAUGGAAGUUCUACCUAAAGUUUUCGAUGCAAGAAAUUCCAGUUAAAUUUGUCUAUACCAUCCACACCCCUUUAUUUUGGAACAUCAAUAACCCUCAAGUGAUAAUGCUUGCUAAUCAAGUUGACUUCAAUAACCUGGGAGUCUAUUUAAUUUGUAGGCUAUAGUUUGUGACCAAAAUACUCUAUUAUACAUAAAAUACUCUAACCCAAGCAACCAGAUCCUGUGAUCAUCAACUGUGGUUAGAAGCUAGACUUGCCCUAUUUGCAGGCUACAGUUUGUGACUAGUGGAAUGCAGCCACCCCCUCAAAUCAUGGGCGACGGACUCGUGGUUGAACCUUCCAAGAUUGCCAGAUUGUAAAUAGCGAGCAAUUUCUUGUCUAACUGAAUGGAGGCUCCACACCACACUACAAGUAGGUUUUAAAUUUUCAUUUCACAGAUCUUCAUUUAUCUUCUUCAGCCUUACGAAUGAGCACUAGUUUGUGCAAAUAUAGAUAUGCCCAACAGAAUGCUUACCGAAUGUUAGUUGCAUAUUCCGUCGGAGGAGAAGGAGGUUAGCGCGACGGUCGAUUUCACUUUGGGUGGGUUAGUGCGGCAGUCGCGAAUUUCACAAAUUACUUUGGGUGUUCUUCGCUGCGCCGCUUCGUCGCCGACUUGAGGUGGAGGUUCGCACCAUAGUCGAUUUCACUUUGGCUAGGUUUGUGCGACGAAUGGUAUUGGGCAGAAAGGACUAUCUUUGAAGGUAGGGCAAAAUGACGAAGAUGACUUCCCUGUUCCAGAGUAUUUGGUUUUUUCUUUUCAUUUUUUUGUUUUGUUUUUUAAUUAG
Molecule: long non-coding RNA, 1778 nt
Filed under: Olea europaea (common olive)
Lineage: Eukaryota; Viridiplantae; Streptophyta; Magnoliopsida; Lamiales; Oleaceae
Description: long non-coding RNA (OEUR_LNC006974)
Source: RNAcentral